RNAcentral lists this transfer RNA (73 nucleotides) under Lachnospiraceae bacterium. RNAcentral describes it as "tRNA-Gln". It matches the Rfam family "tRNA". From Rfam's summary of the family: Transfer RNA (tRNA) molecules are approximately 80 nucleotides in length. Lineage: Bacteria; Bacillati; Bacillota; Clostridia; Lachnospirales; Lachnospiraceae. The record is from RNAcentral.
AGCCGCAUAGCUUAGUUGGUAAAGCGUCGGACUCUGACUCCGGAGAGCGCUGGUUCGAGCCCAGCUGCGGUUG